GACGAACGCUGGCGGCGUGCUUAACACAUGCAAGUCGAACGGAAAGGCCCUGCUUUUGUGGGGUGCUCGAGUGGCGAACGGGUGAGUAGCACGUGAGUAACCUGCCCUUGACUUUGGGAUAACUUCAGGAAACUGGGGCUAAUACCGGAUAGGAGCUCCUGCUGCAUGGUGGGGGUUGGAAAGUUUCGGCGGUUGGGGAUGGACUCGCGGCUUAUCAGCUUGUUGGUGGGGUAGUGGCUUACCAAGGCUUUGACGGGUAGCUGGCCUGAGAGGGUGACCGGCCACAUUGGGACUGAGAUACGGCCCAGACUCCUACGGGAGGCAGCAGUGGGGAAUAUUGCACAAUGGGCGGAAGCCUGAUGCAGCAACGCCGCGUGCGGGAUGACGGCCUUCGGGUUGUAAACCGCUUUCGCCUGUGACGAAGCGUGAGUGACGGUAAUGGGUAAAGAAGCACCGGCUAACUACGUG
RNAcentral lists this ribosomal RNA (468 nucleotides) under uncultured bacterium. Its description in RNAcentral is "partial 16S ribosomal RNA". It matches the Rfam family "Bacterial small subunit ribosomal RNA", at positions 28 to 507 of the family's 1533-position model. The record is from RNAcentral.